Molecule: ribosomal RNA, 253 nt
Filed under: uncultured bacterium
Lineage: Bacteria
Description: partial 16S ribosomal RNA
Rfam family: Bacterial small subunit ribosomal RNA
Source: RNAcentral
UACGUAGGGUGCAAGCGUUAUCCGGAAUUAUUGGGCGUAAAGAGCUCGUAGGCGGUUUGUCGCGUCUGCUGUGAAAACUGGAGGCUCAACCUCCAGCCUGCAGUGGGUACGGGCAGACUAGAGUGCGGUAGGGGAGAUUGGAAUUCCUGGUGUAGCGGUGGAAUGCGCAGAUAUCAGGAGGAACACCGGUGGCGAAGGCGGAUCUCUGGGCCAUAACUGACGCUGAGGAGCGAAAGCGUGGGGAGCGAACAGG